AAGCCCCUGUACUGUUGGUGAUUGAUAAGAUUCUUUGUUCCAACACGAUAAUAAAGGGGGCCUUCACUGAUAUCAAGCGUGAAUUCUAUCAUUGUCAUAGAAUCCCAAAGGUAUCAAAGGGUGCCCACCUAAAAAAAUCAGGUUCAAAAGGUUUGUCAACACGGCAUGCUUGCGGGGGCUUU
Molecule: non-coding RNA, 182 nt
Filed under: Candidatus Magnetoglobus multicellularis str. Araruama
Lineage: Bacteria; Pseudomonadati; Thermodesulfobacteriota; Desulfobacteria; Desulfobacterales; Desulfobacteraceae
Description: 6S / SsrS RNA
Rfam family: 6S / SsrS RNA
About the family: E. coli 6S RNA was the first non coding RNA to be sequenced, but its function was unknown until recently.
Source: Rfam by way of RNAcentral